Molecule: ribosomal RNA, 253 nt
Filed under: uncultured bacterium
Lineage: Bacteria
Description: partial 16S ribosomal RNA
Rfam family: Bacterial small subunit ribosomal RNA
Source: RNAcentral
UACGUAGGGUGCGAGCGUUACUCGGAAUUACUGGGCGUAAAGUGUGCGCAGGCGGCCGCGCAAGUCGAGUGUGAAAUCCCCGAGCUUAACUUGGGAAUUGCGCUCGAAACUACGUGGCUGGAGUGUGGCAGAGGAAGGUGGAAUUCCACGUGUAGCGGUGAAAUGCGUAGAGAUGUGGAGGAACACCGAUGGCGAAGGCAGCCUUCUGGGCCAACACUGACGCUCAUGCACGGAAGCGUGGGGAGCAAACAGG